Molecule: ribosomal RNA, 88 nt
Filed under: Brochothrix thermosphacta
Lineage: Bacteria; Bacillati; Bacillota; Bacilli; Caryophanales; Listeriaceae
Source: RNAcentral
UGUUCCCAUCCCGAACACAGUAGUUAAGCUCUUUAGCGCCGAUGGUAGUUGGGGGGUUCCCCCUGUGAGAGUAGGACGUUGCCAAGCA